AAUGAACGCUGGCGGCGCGCCUAACACAUGCAAGUCGAGCGCGAAAGUUCCUUCGGGAAUGAGUAGAGCGGCGGACGGGUGAGUAACACGUGAGAAUUUGCCCUUUAGUGAGGAAUACCCCUGAGAAAUUAGGGUUAAUACCGCAUACGUUCCUUCGGGAAGAAAGGUGGCCUCUUUGCUGCCGCUAAAGGAUAAGCUUGCGUUCUAUUAGCUAGUUGGUGAGGUAAUGGCUCACCAAGGCGAUGAUGGAUAGCCGGCCUGAGAGGGUGAACGGCCACACUGGAACUUAGACACGGUCCAGACUCCUACGGGAGGCAGCAGUGGGGAAUAUUGCGCAAUGGGCGAAAGCCUGACGCAGCGACGCCGCGUGGAGGAUGAAGGUCUUAGGAUUGUAAACUCCUGUUAAGUGGGAAGAAAGACUCGCUUUUAAUAGAAGCGAGGGAUGACUGUACCAUUAGAGAAAGCACCGGCUAACUUCGUGCCAGCCGCCGCGGUAA
Molecule: ribosomal RNA, 497 nt
Filed under: uncultured bacterium
Lineage: Bacteria
Description: partial 16S ribosomal RNA
Rfam family: Bacterial small subunit ribosomal RNA
Source: RNAcentral